CUGGUAAAUAACCCGCGCUCCAGAUUUAAGUUAGUAAUAAGUAAAAAAAAAACGAUUCGUUCUCACCCGAACGACGGACGCAACGCCCGGUCUCCGCCUGCCCCAAUCCCGACUCCAGGCCGUCGUCCCCAACACACCAUGAGGACGAAGAUGGCGGCGGCGCUGGUCCGGGCCUCCGAGGGGAUCGGACCUCCUACGCCUGCCCGAUCCUCCUACUUCUCCUCGCGCUGCUCCUCGCUGUCCCCGCUCGCGGCCACCUCCAACGCCUCCUCCCACGCCUACGCCUUCGCGGGCCGUCAGCCGGUGCCCGCCCCGGAUCCCACCUUCUUCGAUCGACAAGUACGGCUAGGACCCCGACGCCGAGGUCCGGGUUUGGCCGCUCGACGCCGAGGGCGCGCUCGUCGACGCCGUGCAGCGCUACGAGUUCCCCGCUCGCGUGGGGCCCCGCGGUGGCGCUGGCGCGGGCCUCCGACGGGGCCGUCGACUGGAGCCGCCCCGACGCCCCCGGGGUGGAGGAGGUGGUCGGGCCCGACGGGGUCGACUUCGUCACCGGCGAUGGCGACCUGGCGUUCUGCUCCGGCGUCAGGGCCCGUGACAUGGUAGGGCCGUUCGAGCUGGUGGUCUCCGAUGGCGCUGGCAGGGGCCGCGCAGAGCUCCAGUUGCCGUCGUGUCUGCACCACCGCCCGUUGAUUAGAAUGCAUGUUCCGGCAGUCCAGGCAUCGAUCACUGGCAAAUUAAAAAGGCAUGAACGCACUAAACAGAAAUUCUGUGUAGAUGAUUCUUGUAUAUGGCAGUGGCACACGCGCUGGUUGAUGAAGCCGCUGGGCCGGAAGGCCCUCUCAUUGCCAUGCUAAUGAGUAUCACGACGAACAUGGCCCCCACCUCAAUGCCUCCCUGUCGGCGGUGAGGUCUGGCCGGAUCUGUACAACCCGCAAUAUUAGUAAAGAAAAAGAAUAGCUUGAUUGUUCUAUGACUCUGUCGUGGAUAGGUAAUUUGCAUCCGAGGUCUAUAGGAUCUCCGCCAUUAGUUUCCCAUUAGAAAAUUGAGUUACUAAAGUAAGGAAGAUGUCCAAAGAGAGGUAAUCGAUGGCAUGAUAUGCAUCAGAAGAUCCUCAUCACUGAAGUAGUACUCCACCAGUCCACCUACAGUUUUGGAACAUAUAAACACGGCAUCAAAGUGCUACCUGGCACCAAAUAAAGAGUUCAGGUCAGGGUGUUAUACUGCAGCUAAGCAGUAUAGUCUGAAAUUCUAAGUUUGAGGAGGAUUUCAGUGUUUCUAAAGAAAGGGACAAGGAUCAGGGCUAUAAGAUUGUUGAAAGACUCAGAGACAUGUAUCAUGAAUCGGUUCCGCAAGCUGCGGCACACAUGGUCUGCCUCCGUGUCGUCCUACCUGCUUCAGGGCCCUCUACUUCUUCCCCCAAGAUUGCCAUUAUGAUUAACAAAUCUGACGAGAGCAAUUUAAUUGGUGACACAUCAUAUUUAUUCUGCAACUGCAUGUGAAUUCUCAUCUUGCGCCUACCUCUUUUGCUUACCAGUGAAGAUGGAGAGCUUUAGGCAAAAAAAGAAAUAAAAAAAACUAGCACGUGAUCUAUGGAGAAUAAUUUUGACAGCAACUCCAACUAUGCAAUGGAGUACACUUGAUGCGAUCAAUUCUGGUGUGUGUGUGUGUGUGAUGCAAUGACGCAUGAAUAACGACAGAAAAAUAUGCCUGAGGAGUAUGGGUUGCACAGAGGAGUAUAAGGAUUUCUUCAUCGGGCCAGUCCACGUGGAAGAUGUCGCGUUAGCCCAUAUCACGCUGUUUGAAAACCCGGCUGCAUCCGGGAGGCACCUCUGUGUGGAGCCCAUAUGUCACUUGAGCGAUUUCGCGUCCCAAGUCGCGGAGCUCUACCCCGACUACGAAGUCCCGAAAUUACCUGAGGACACGCAGCCUGGGCUGGUGAGAGCGGAGGCGGUGCCGAAGAGAAGCUGAUGGCACUGGGCCUGCAUUUCACUCCUUUGGAAAAGAUCAUCAAGGAUGCGGUGGAGAGCCUUCGGAGAAGAGGAUGCAUCGCCUGAUGGCUGGAUUAUUAGCUGUACCAUAUUCCUUCCCUUCUGUUGUAGGGUCAUGAUCAACCCUUGCUCCAGAGAUGUGUUGUGCCCAGCCCAGUGCUAGACCUUAUAGUUGCCUGUAUGAUUGUGCAAUAACGGCUGGUUGAUCUACUGGUACACCUGUCUGUUCUUGCUAGAUUCUUCCAAGAAGUCCUUGGGUGUUGCAAGGAAGAUCACAACUAUGAAUAAUUGUCCAGGAUAAGUGAAGAAAACAGUACUCUUGAAAUAGAACGAAUAAUCCAUUCACAAAA
This is a non-coding RNA of Aegilops tauschii subsp. strangulata, 2338 nucleotides long. Lineage: Eukaryota; Viridiplantae; Streptophyta; Magnoliopsida; Poales; Poaceae. The record is from RefSeq and is a predicted model, not a curated record.